AUCAUGUCAUUUUACAAGGUAAAAAAAUAAUUUUCCCAAACAGCAGCUACUGAAUUGUUACAAAGAAAAUAUCCUCAACAAUAAAUACGCAUACCCA
Perognathus longimembris pacificus (Pacific pocket mouse) is the source of this 97-nucleotide long non-coding RNA. RefSeq lists it as uncharacterized. The transcript is spliced from 3 exons. The record is from RefSeq and is a predicted model, not a curated record. NCBI's taxonomy places the organism in Eukaryota, Metazoa, Chordata, Mammalia, Rodentia, Heteromyidae.